GUUUGAGCUAAAGUCAGAUGAAGAUUUAAAAGUCAUAUAGGGCACAUAUCACCAAUAUUAAAAAUGCUCGAUCAAGGUGGAUGCAACAAUUCCCGGAUCUUUUGACGAUAUUAGCAAGGUGUUGAAACAUCCUGAAUCAUAUAGCAGUGUUUAAGUUAUGUUAAUGUUAUUUUUAUGUUAUGUUGAGCAAUUUUCAUGUUAA
RNAcentral lists this long non-coding RNA (202 nucleotides) under Lathyrus oleraceus (garden pea). RNAcentral describes it as "Pisum sativum (pea) long non-coding RNA (PSAT_LNC007087)". The record is from RNAcentral. Lineage: Eukaryota; Viridiplantae; Streptophyta; Magnoliopsida; Fabales; Fabaceae.